This 425-nucleotide ribosomal RNA is filed under the name uncultured bacterium. Its description in RNAcentral is "bacterial SSU rRNA". It matches the Rfam family "Bacterial small subunit ribosomal RNA", at positions 355 to 796 of the family's 1533-position model. The record is from RNAcentral.
CGAGGAAUAUUGCGCAAUGGACGAAAGUCUGACGCAGUAACGCCGCGUGAGGGAAGACGACCUUCGGGUUGUAAACCUCUUUUUGGAAGGACGAGAGAGGACGGUACUUUCAGAAUAAGUCUCGGCUAACUACGUGCCAGCAGCCGCGGUAAGACGUAGGAGGCGAGCGUUAUCCGGAUUCACUGGGCGUAAAGGGCAUGUAGGCGGCUGUGUAAGUCGUGUGUUAAAGCCCCCGGCUCAACUGGGGGAGGUCAUGCGAGACUAUACGGCUUGAGGGCAGCAGAGGAACGUGGAACUCCCGGUGUAGCGGUGGAAUGCGUAGAGAUCGGGAAGAACACCAGUGGCGAAGGCGGCGUUCUGGGCUGCAACUGACGCUGAAAUGCGAAAGUGUGGGGAGCAAACGGGAUUAGAUACCCCUGUAGUCC